UGGGGAAUCUUGGACAAUGGGCGCAAGCCUGAUCCAGCCAUGCCGCGUGAGUGAAGAAGGCCUUAGGGUUGUAAAGCUCUUUUGGCAGGGACGAUAAUGACGGUACCUGCAGAAUAAGCCCCGGCAAACUUCGUGCCAGCAGCCGCGGUAAUACGAAGGGGGCUAGCGUUGUUCGGAUUUACUGGGCGUAAAGCGCACGUAGGCGGAUUGUUAAGUCAGGGGUGAAAUCCCGGAGCUCAACUCCGGAACUGCCUUUGAUACUGGCAAUCUUGAGGCUGGAAGAGGUUGGUAGAAUUCCCAGUGUAGAGGUGAAAUUCGUAGAUAUUGGGAAGAAUACCAGUGGCGAAGGCGGCCAACUGGUCCAGAUCUGACGCUGAGGCGCGAAAGCGUGGGGAGCAAACA
RNAcentral lists this ribosomal RNA (402 nucleotides) under uncultured bacterium. Its description in RNAcentral is "bacterial SSU rRNA". It matches the Rfam family "Bacterial small subunit ribosomal RNA", at positions 355 to 774 of the family's 1533-position model. The record is from RNAcentral.